Molecule: long non-coding RNA, 276 nt
Organism: Chinchilla lanigera (long-tailed chinchilla)
Lineage: Eukaryota; Metazoa; Chordata; Mammalia; Rodentia; Chinchillidae
Exons: 3
Source: RefSeq, a predicted model, not a curated record
GCUAUGUCGGGCAGAAUGUUGGGCAGAAUCGGGUGCAAAUCGGGAAGGGUCAAACACCUGCAGAGAGAGAACCAGGGCCAGGACAGGAAAAAAAUGGUGUCUCCUUCUGCCCCUGUCUGAUGCUCUCCAUACUUCAGAAAAUGAAAAAUGUGGAUCUCAAGUCCUGAAAACGUAUCUGGAGGCCAUAGUUAAUUUUACAGAUUCUAGGACAUCUACUCAAAGGAGAUGAGCUGCCACUCUGAAGAUGAUGUUUUACACUCACCUGAUCUCCCCAGA